GACGAACGCUGGCGGCGUGCUUAACACAUGCAAGUCGAACGGAAAGGCCCUGCUUUUGUGGGGUGCUCGAGUGGCGAACGGGUGAGUAACACGUGAGUAACCUGCCCUUGACUUUGGGAUAACUUCAGGAAACUGGGGCUAAUACCGGAUAGGAGCUCCUGCUGCAUGGUGGGGGUUGGAAAGUUUCGGCGGUUGGGGAUGGACUCGCGGCUUAUCCGCUUGUUGGUGGGGUAGUGGCUUACCAAGGCUUUGACGGGUAGCCGGCCUGAGAGGGUGACCGGCCACAUUGGGACUGAGAUACGGCCCAGACUCCUACGGGAGGCAGCAGUGGGGAAUAUUGCACAAUGGGCGGAAGCCUGAUGCAGCAGCGCCGCGUGCGGGAUGACGGCCUUCGGGUUGUAAACCGCUUUCGCCUGUGACGAAGCGUGAGUGACGGUAAUGGGUAAAGAAGCACCGGCUAACUACGUG
Molecule: ribosomal RNA, 468 nt
Filed under: uncultured bacterium
Lineage: Bacteria
Description: partial 16S ribosomal RNA
Rfam family: Bacterial small subunit ribosomal RNA
Source: RNAcentral